This 252-nucleotide ribosomal RNA is filed under the name uncultured Bacteroidales bacterium. RNAcentral describes it as "partial 16S ribosomal RNA". It matches the Rfam family "Bacterial small subunit ribosomal RNA", at positions 524 to 776 of the family's 1533-position model. The record is from RNAcentral. Lineage: Bacteria; Pseudomonadati; Bacteroidota; Bacteroidia; Bacteroidales.
UACGGAGGAUGCGAGCGUUAUCCGGAUUUAUUGGGUUGAAAGGGUGCGCAGGCGGGCUGUUAAGCCGGCGGUAAAAAUUCAGGGCUCAACCCUGUCGAGCCGUCGGAACUGGCAGUCUUGAGUGGGCGAGAAGUAUGCGGAAUGCGUGGUGUAGCGGUGAAAUGCAUAGAUAUUAGGAGGAACACCGGCGGCGAAGGCGGCCUGCUGGACUGAAACUGACGUUGAGGCUCGAAAGCGUGGGGAGCAAACAGG